This 740-nucleotide non-coding RNA is filed under the name Strigamia maritima. Lineage: Eukaryota; Metazoa; Arthropoda; Chilopoda; Geophilomorpha; Linotaeniidae. The record is from RNAcentral.
AAAAAGUUUGAUUCUUGCUUCUUAAUUUUGCUUUAUUAACAGUUUAUAUGCAUUAAUUAAAUUUUAAUGUUGCAGUAUUUGGUAUUAUUAAUUUUAACAAAAUAUAGUGAUUGGUCGGUUAGGCUGUUAAAUGUUGUGCCAGCAAACGCGGUUAUACGGUAGGCUUUGUGAAGUUUUUUUGGGGUUUUGUUUUGGUUAUUUAUUUUUAGCUUUUAGUACAAAUUGUUGGGGUGAAAUCUACUUUUGUUUUUGUUUAGUCAAUUUUAGGUUUGUUUAGGCUAUGAAAAUUUUAUUUUAAACCAGGAUUAGAUACCCUGUUAUUAAAUUUAUAACUUGUUCUUCUGGUAGUAGUAGUGUUCUUGAAACUAAAAGGAUUUGGCUGUUUUGUUAUUUUGUCUAGAGGAGCCUGUCUAUUAAACGAUAAUCCAUGAUUGUUUUAACUUUUAAGUUUGCUUGUAUAUCGCUGUCUUAAGUGGCUUUAAAUAGUUGGUUAUAGAGAAUUUGUUUCUUUUUUGUCAAGUCAAGGUGCAGCUGUUUAAGGGGUUUAAGGUGGGCUACAUUUAUUGGUAUCAGUGGAUUCUUUUAUGGGGUGAAACAGGAUUUAGUUGUAAAAAAUAGGCAUUUAUUUUUUGAAUUAAUAUUUACAAGAGGCACACAUCGCCCGUCACUCUCAGGCUUGUUUAUGUUUUUGAGAAAAGUCGUAACAAAGUAGGGGUACUGGAAGGUGCACCUUUAGCUUA